Molecule: long non-coding RNA, 702 nt
Organism: Sycon ciliatum
Lineage: Eukaryota; Metazoa; Porifera; Calcarea; Leucosolenida; Sycettidae
Exons: 4
Source: RefSeq, a predicted model, not a curated record
UGUAGAUCGGCCUACGAGAGAGAGACAAAAUUGUUGGAACAUUCACAAUAUUUGUUGAUUUGGGUGGCAGGCCGAGGGCCUAGUAGUGUUGCUUUCCACGUCAGGAGGAAUCGUUCCGUGCCCGGUCUGGCGGCUCUCGUUCCUGACCUCCGAGGAUGGCGGAGUGGGUGGCACGCUGGCACCACUCUGCUGUGGCACUCCUGACUCUGCUGGUGCUUUCUACAGACAAUGCUCAAUCUUCCAGCGUGCCGCAACGUUGUCCAACUGUGCCAUAUAUGGAGUAUCUAAGGAGUACAGAAAGGAAAAGUUUUGAGAACGCUGUUUCAUAUUGCAAAAGUAUGUUUCAACAGAGUACAAUUGCCUUGCCCCGAAAUCGAAUUGAAAAUGAUUGCCUGCUCAGCUUCUACCCAACAACUACAUUCUUUAUUGGAGGAUUCGUAUACAACUCAUCGACGUGGCUUGAUCUUGGGGGGCGCGGAAUUUCUUGGACAAACUUUGCACCACAUGAACCCUGGGGUGGCAUUCAUCCGAAGGCCUGUUUAACCAUGUGGAGUAAAUAUUCCGGGAAGUGGGAUGACGACUAUUGUGACAAAGAACUUCACUUUAUUUGCCAGAGAGAUGAUGAUGAAUGUGGCAGAGGCACUUACAGGUGUUCCAAUAACGCCACCUGUGCAAAUACAGAAGGCAAUGGAACGGUUUGUA